UUCCCGCUUAAGUUUCCCUCAGGACAGCUGGCACUUGGCAAUGGGCAGUUUUACCUGGUAAAGCAAAUGAUUUGAGGUCUUGGGGCUGAAACGAUCUCAACCUAUUCUCAAACUUUCAAUGGGUAAGGGAGCCGGCUCGCUGGCAUGGAGCUGUGCCGUGGAAUGUGAGUGCUCAGUGGGCCACUUUUGGUAAGCAGAACUGGCACUGCGUGAUGAACCAAAUGCCGGGUUAAAGGUGCCUGAUGCCGACGCUCAUCAGAGCCCAGAAAAGGUGUUGGUUGAUCUAGACAGCAGGACGGUGGCCAUGGAAGUCGAAAUCCGCUAAGGAGCGUGUAACGACUCACCUGCCGAAUCAACUAGCCCUGAAAAUGGAUGGCGCUGGAGCGUCGGGCCCAUACCCGGCUGUCGCUGGCAGUGCGAGGCCCGUGGGGGCUAGGCCAUGAUGAGUAGGAGGGCUGCUGCGGUGAGCCUUGAAGCCUGGGGGCGUGGGCCUGGGUGGAGCCGCCACAGGUG
RNAcentral lists this non-coding RNA (513 nucleotides) under Nipponia nippon (crested ibis). Its description in RNAcentral is "Eukaryotic large subunit ribosomal RNA". It matches the Rfam family "Eukaryotic large subunit ribosomal RNA", at positions 955 to 1444 of the family's 3401-position model. Lineage: Eukaryota; Metazoa; Chordata; Aves; Pelecaniformes; Threskiornithidae. The record is from Rfam by way of RNAcentral.